UUUGGUAAAGCACUUUUGGCGGGGAAAGAAACGACGCUUGCUAAUACCAGGCGUUAAUGACGGUACCCGCAGAAUAAGCACCGGCUAACUACGUGCCAGCAGCCGCGGUAAUACGUAGGGUGCGAGCGUUAAUCGGAAUUACUGGGCGUAAAGCGUGCGCAGGCGGUUCUGUAAGACGGAUGUGAAAGCCCCGGGCUCAACCUGGGAACUGCAUUCGUGACUGCAGGGCUAGAGUGUGUCAGAGGGAGGUGGAAUUCCGCGUGUAGCAGUGAAAUGCGUAGAGAUGCGGAGGAACACCGAUGGCGAAGGCAGCCUCCUGGGAUAACACUGACGCUCAUGCACGAAAGCGUGGGGAGCAAACAGGAUUAGAUACCCUGGUAGUCCACGCCCUAAACGAUGUCAACUAGUUGUCGGGUCUUAAUUGACUUGGUAACGCAGCUAACGCGUGAAGUUGACCGCCUGGGGAGUACGGCCGCAAGGUUAAAACUCAAAGGAAUUGACGGGGACCCGCACAAGCGGUGGAUGAUGUGGAUUAAUUCGAUGCAACGCGAAAAACCUUACCUACGUUUGACAUGCCAGGAAGGCCGGAGAGAUCUGGUCGUGCCCGAAAGGGAACCUGGACACAGGUGCUGCAUGGCUGUCGUCAGCUCGUGUCGUGAGAUGUUGGGUUAAGUCCCGCAACGAGCGCAACCCUUAUCAUUAGUUGCUACGCAAGGGCACUCUAAUGAGACUGCCGGUGACAAACCGGAGGAAGGUGGGGAUGACGUCAAGUCCUCAUGGCCCUUAUACGUAGGGCUUCACACGUCAUACAAUGGUCGGUACAGAGGGCUGCAAACCCGCGAGGGGGAGCCAAUCCCAGAAAACCGAUCGUAGUCCGGAUUGCACUCUGCAACUCGAGUGCAUGAAGUCGGAAUCGCUAGUAAUCGCGGAUCAGCAUGUCGCGGUGAAUACGUUCCCGGGUCUUGUACACACCGCCCGUCACACCAUGGGAGUGGGUUCUACCAGAAGUAGUUAGCUUAACCGCAAGGAGGGCGAUUACCACGGUAGGGCUCAUGACUGGGGUGAAGUCGUAACAAGGUAGCCGAAUCUCUGAAGAUCCGCGCUUCUCGUCCC
RNAcentral lists this ribosomal RNA (1113 nucleotides) under uncultured bacterium. RNAcentral's name for it is "bacterial SSU rRNA". It matches the Rfam family "Bacterial small subunit ribosomal RNA", at positions 421 to 1533 of the family's 1533-position model. The record is from RNAcentral.